Molecule: long non-coding RNA, 1037 nt
Organism: Agrilus planipennis (emerald ash borer)
Lineage: Eukaryota; Metazoa; Arthropoda; Insecta; Coleoptera; Buprestidae
Exons: 3
Source: RefSeq, a predicted model, not a curated record
AGCUACUUCAAGAGAUAAAUUAAAAAGCGUGUGGCGCAUAUAACAACUUCACUUGAGUUAGUGAUUUGUCAAAAGUACAUAUGGUGAGAAGUAAUAUGUUUGAAAUGAUCUAAUAGUUUCGAUAAAUUGCUGGCCACGAACCUAGAAGAAUUUUAUCGAUCUGUAAUUUGCCAGUGGUACAUAAUUAAGCAAAGACGACCAGUGCCGGAUUAAGCCAGCGCGGGGCCUGAAGCAAAUUCUAUCAAGGGGCCCUUAGACUGUUUUAGGUUAGCAAAUUUAUAAAUAAUGCUGUUGAUAUCGACUUCUCGGAGUAAAUCAUGUUCAAUAUUCAUUAAAGUGAGGCGAUUAAGACGUUGUUGGCUCAAUUCAUUUUUAACACGUUUUAAUGUUGAGAAAGAUCGUUCACCACUGCAGUUGGUGAUCAUGAGAGACAAAUAAAUGCGCAAAGCAAUUUCAACGUUCGAGCCUCAUGAUUCCUGCUGUCAAUAAUACUAGCCACAUCAGAAUUGAGCAUUGCAGCGAACUGCACUAAUUCGUCGCCCAGACUGUCCUCCAAAUCAUCUACGUAAGCAGUUGCUAUGGUUGCAGAUUUUUUCAAAAUUUCUUCUGGUGGAAGACAUAAUAAUUUCUUAUUUUAACUUAAAAAUAUCUUACCUUAUGCACAGUUAUUAUCGUUGAAUACUUUUCUCUUCUUGACUACGUAAGAACACUGUUCUAUUUAGUAUAUUUUAAGAGAUAACUGAAUACUUAAAAAAUCGGUUGCACCGCUAUAUUAUGUAAGAAAACAAUACUCAACACAAUUACGAAACCACUUUUUUCAAGAAUGGUUCAUAUCGAAAGUGCCAUUAUUAUCACCCAAACGUAAAUAUCGAUCAUUCCUUAUAGAUUGGUAGUCAAUAUAACCCUUUUCAAAUCGGUCGGGUUAUUAUCACUAGCACGGAGAAAAUAUUAGGGAAUUCCCCGUUUUGUUUAGCAGCAUUGCCAACUUGCGUGUAGUGCGGUGCGAAACAUGAUUUUUGGUAUGACCAGCAGAUAGA